RNAcentral lists this ribosomal RNA (253 nucleotides) under uncultured bacterium. RNAcentral's name for it is "partial 16S ribosomal RNA". It matches the Rfam family "Bacterial small subunit ribosomal RNA", at positions 524 to 776 of the family's 1533-position model. The record is from RNAcentral.
UACGUAGGGCGCAAGCGUUAUCCGGAAUUAUUGGGCGUAAAGAGCUCGUAGGCGGUUUGUCGCGUCUGCCGUGAAAGUCCGGGGCUCAACUCCGGAUCUGCGGUGGGUACGGGCAGACUAGAGUGAUGUAGGGGAGACUGGAAUUCCUGGUGUAGCGGUGAAAUGCGUAGAUAUCUGGAGGAACACCGGUGGCGAAGGCGACGUCCUGGACCGGCAUUGACGCUGAGGCGCGAAAGCCAGGGGAGCAAACGGG